GCAGGGAGCUGAGGAGUUGCUGGCUAGGACCCAGCUAGCGCUACGGCUAGCAAGGCCUCAUCCCCAACGCUGGGCAACUGACGCAUGACUACACAAGCCCAGAGCUGCUUGAAGGCUUUGGGUGCAGGGGAGUGGUGGGAUCCAGGGUUGAUCCCCGGCAACAGAUAUGGGAGUGUGUGUCACCACAGCCCUCUCCAGCCCUCCAGGGCUGAGCCUCGCAGACGUCAAGUGUUAAUUUAGGGUUCCUGCCGAGCGGGAGCUUGUCAGCGGCGAGGCUUGGAGAAGGAGAGAGGCAAGGUCUUUAAGAUCAUGGACAUUAGCAGAGAAGACCAGAGAAGAUCAUUUUGAAAAACGUGAGA
Molecule: long non-coding RNA, 359 nt
Organism: Etheostoma cragini (Arkansas darter)
Lineage: Eukaryota; Metazoa; Chordata; Actinopteri; Perciformes; Percidae
Exons: 4
Source: RefSeq, a predicted model, not a curated record